Molecule: long non-coding RNA, 633 nt
Organism: Thamnophis elegans (Western terrestrial garter snake)
Lineage: Eukaryota; Metazoa; Chordata; Lepidosauria; Squamata; Natricidae
Exons: 4
Source: RefSeq, a predicted model, not a curated record
CAGCACACCCCUUUCUCCAACUUAUACGGAUGUCAUUCAGAACAGUAAACAUACUUCGAAGAAAAUACUGGAUCAUUUUGCGGAUUUUGAACACAAGUGUUAUGCAGAACUAAUGGUGUUACAAGAAAAGAGAGAGAAAGCUAACAGAAAGUUCAGAAGGAUGCAAGAAACCAUCACCACGAAACCUACUGAAAAAAGGAUGAAAAUAGAACAGUUUCUCCUCCAAAUGGCAAAUGCCAAGAUACAACGUCAUGGCUCUUGUGGAUCACAAUCGGGAGCCAAAGAUGCCUGACAUCAAGAUACGUGCUGUGAAUGCUGAUGGGAUUCUUUUUUUUUCCUUCCGCCAAAAUUAAGUAUAUUCAACUUUUGGUAUGAAGUGGGCUCUGGCUUCCGAAUCAAUAAAGAAUGAGACAGAGUCAUUGGGCCUUUUUUCCCCCUCCCCUUUAAUUCCAAUCUGGUUCGUUUCCAUAAUUUUAACCGAUACAUUUUGGCAAAUCGUGUUUUAUAUUGCAAAGUCCAGACAGAAAUCAACAUUUUGGAUGAUUAUGUUGGAAGCAUAUUUUAAGAAAGAAAGAAAUAAUAGAAAGAUUAAUAGCGCUUUUGAGAGAGAGAGAGAGAGAGAGAGAGAGAGAG